CCUACGGGUGGCAGCAGUGAGGAAUAUUGGUCAAUGGACGAGAGUCUGAACCAGCCAAGUAGCGUGAAGGAUGACUGCCCUAUGGGUUGUAAACUUCUUUUAUAUGGGAAUAAAAUGUUCCACGUGUGGGAUUUUGUCUGUACCAUAUGGAUAAGGAUCGGCUAACUCCGUGCCAGCAGCCGCGGUAAUACGGAGGAUCCGAGCGUUAUACGGAUUUAUUGGGUUUAAAGGGCGCGUAGGUGGAUUGUUAAGUCAGCUGUGAAAGUGUGCGGCUCAACCGUAAAAUUGCAGUUGAAACUGGCAGUCUGGAGUACAGUAGAGGUGGGCGGAAUUCGUGGUGUAGCGGUGAAAUGCUUAGAUAUCACGAAGAACUCCGAUUGCGAAGGCAGCUCACUGGACUGCAACUGACACUGAGGCUCGAAAGUGUGGGUAUCAAACAGGAUUAGAUACCCGUGUAGUC
Molecule: ribosomal RNA, 460 nt
Filed under: uncultured bacterium
Lineage: Bacteria
Description: partial 16S ribosomal RNA
Rfam family: Bacterial small subunit ribosomal RNA
Source: RNAcentral